This 1457-nucleotide long non-coding RNA is filed under the name Junco hyemalis (dark-eyed junco). Its description in RNAcentral is "lncRNA (ENSJHYG00000004725.1)". Lineage: Eukaryota; Metazoa; Chordata; Aves; Passeriformes; Passerellidae. The record is from RNAcentral.
CGCGGCUUGCGGGCCCCGGCGGGCGCGGAGGGCGGGAGCGGAGGUGCGGGGCGGAGGAGGGAAGGCGGCGGGGCGUUCACGGCAGCCCGCGCCGCUAUAAAGGGGGCCGGGCGCGGCGGAGCGGCGCAUCCCUCUCGCCCGCAGCCACAGCGGCAGGAGCAGCACCAGCACCAGCAUCGCGCCGGGACAGCAGCAGAUGGGCAUGGGGACGGCGCUGGCGGCGCGGCUCGGCCUGGGGCUCCUGCUCCUUGCCCUCCUCCUUCCCACGCAGAUCUACUGUGGUCCCAAUGGAACAAGUCCAACACCUUCAAACAAUUCUUCAGCAAAUUCCACUUCUCUGUCAGCUGUCACAAAUUCACUGAACAAUACCACCACUCACGGACAUGGAAAUUCUCUUCACUCAACCACAAGUCUUUUUUUCAUUCUCUCAGUUUCUCUUCUGUAUUUUUGCUGUUAAGAGACUCUGGCAUGGAAAUGGCUACCACUCCCCACCCCGUUUCCUGAACCGCCCGAGAUGGCUAGACCUCCAACCCAGCAUGAGAAGAAAUCAAUCCAAACUCCACAUCAAACCAGCUUGGUUCCACUCCAUACUCAAAUUAGUACCAGUCUGACCUAGAGAAACACUCAGUAUUCUGACUUUCAAAGCUGACCGGUGUGAAAAGAUCAGCUUCAGCAAGGAGGUAAAAUUAUGAGCUCUUUCACCAAAUGAGUUGGAAUCCAAAAAACAAGAUGGAAACAAAAAGAGACAGUACUGACAAACCAAAUUUAAAGCUGAGAAGAAAUACAGUAUCUCAUAAUAAGGAUGGAUAAUAACACUCCACGAAGAAAAAAGGCUAGAGAGUUUAUCUACCAUUUAGAAUAAGGACUUCAAGAGUUUUUAUUUUUUGUUUAAGUUCGAAAACAUCAACAGGCUAAUAGAAUCCCUAGAAAACACAUAAAAGCUCAAAUAAUUCUGUUUCUUACACAGCCUGUAUAGUUAUAACUUGUGGGUAUUAGGAUGUAUGAAAAAGAAACAACAUCAGUGAAAAGGAUUUCUUCUAGAUUUCAUUUGUAUUAAAUUGUUACAAGGCUAAAAUAGAAUAACAAAUUUUUUGCAAGAAUCCUCUUAUUUAACCAAAUGGUUAGCCAGGCAGGGCUAGUUUUGAAAUAGCUAAAACCCCACCAGUUUUCAUAAGAGUGGAAUUCUUUAUGGUGGGAAUUUGAAUUUGACAUUUUAUUUAAAUUGUUUGUAUAUUAAACCAUAUGUGCCAGAGAAAGGAGGUGUGGAAACAUUAGAAAAAGUACCAGGAGCUUUUUGUAAAUGAAAUUCAGAAAGAACGAACAAACAAGCAAGUCAAUGGAUGUAUGUCUCCUAUUUCCUUUAUUUCUCCUCCCAAGUUGUAUAAGUUUUUUGCUCCUGGAACUUUCCUUAAUUAUGAAGGAUUUAUGAAAUCUUAUGAAUAAUGUUAUAGUGUUGC